UGAGGAAUAUUGCGCAAUGGACGAAAGUCUGACGCAGCCACGCCGCGUGCAGGAAGACACCCCUCAGGGGCGUAAACUGCUUUUGUACGAGAAGAACACCCCGCUCGGCGGGAGCUGACGGUAUCGUACGAAUAAGGACCGGCUAACUCCGUGCCAGCAGCCGCGGUAAUACGGAGGGUCCAAGCGUUGUCCGGAAUCACUGGGUGUAAAGGGUGCGCAGGCGGGCUUGUAAGUCAGGGGUGAAAGCCACCGGCCUAACCGGUGAACUGCCCUUGAUACUGCAAGUCUUGAGUCCUGGAGGGGCUGUCGGAAUUCGUGGUGUAGCGGUGAAAUGCGUAGAUAUCACGAGGAACACCGGAGGUGUAAACGGACAGCUGGACAGGUACUGACGCUCAGGCACGAAAGCGUGGGGAGCGAACAGG
Molecule: ribosomal RNA, 422 nt
Filed under: uncultured bacterium
Lineage: Bacteria
Description: bacterial SSU rRNA
Rfam family: Bacterial small subunit ribosomal RNA
Source: RNAcentral